RNAcentral lists this unclassified non-coding RNA (216 nucleotides) under Glomeraceae sp. RNAcentral's name for it is "partial contains 5.8S ribosomal RNA and internal transcribed spacer 2". The stretch from base 1 to 71 matches the Rfam family "5.8S ribosomal RNA", at positions 84 to 154 of the family's 154-position model. The record is from RNAcentral. Lineage: Eukaryota; Fungi; Glomeromycota; Glomeromycetes; Glomerales; Glomeraceae.
GUGAAUCAUCAAAUUUUUGAACGCAAAUUGCGCUUCCUGGCAUCCCGGGGAGUAUGCCUGUUUGAGGGUCAGUAUUAACAUAAAAUCGGUCUGGUUGCAAAUUGUCUCUUUUCCGGAGUUUGGGCUUGUCUUAACUUAUUUGGUUAAGGGGCUUAAAAUUGACCUUCUUUGCGCAUUUUUAGACGGACAUAAAUUUUUUUUUAUUCGUCUAUUCUU